This 452-nucleotide ribosomal RNA is filed under the name uncultured organism. RNAcentral describes it as "partial 16S ribosomal RNA". It matches the Rfam family "Bacterial small subunit ribosomal RNA", at positions 330 to 798 of the family's 1533-position model. The record is from RNAcentral.
CGUACACUCCUGCGGGAGGCAGCAGUGGGGAAUAUUGGACAAUGGGCGCAAGCCUGAUCCAGCCAUGCCGCGUGAGUGAUGAAGGCCCUAGGGUUGUAAAGCUCUUUCACCGGUGAAGAUAAUGACGGUAACCGGAGAAGAAGCCCCGGCUAACUUCGUGCCAGCAGCCGCGGUAAUACGAAGGGGGCUAGCGUUGUUCGGAUUUACUGGGCGUAAAGCGCACGUAGGCGGACUAUUAAGUCAGGGGUGAAAUCCCGGGGCUCAACCCCGGAACUGCCUUUGAUACUGGUAGUCUUGAGUUCGAGAGAGGUGAGUGGAAUUCCGAGUGUAGAGGUUAAAUUCGUAGAUAUUCGGAGGAACACCAGUGGCGAAGGCGGCUCACUGGCUCGAUACUGACGCUGAGGUGCGAAAGCGUGGGGAGCAAACAGGAUUAGAAACCCCGGUAGUCCCAU